This 263-nucleotide ribosomal RNA is filed under the name uncultured prokaryote. RNAcentral's name for it is "partial 16S ribosomal RNA". It matches the Rfam family "Bacterial small subunit ribosomal RNA", at positions 524 to 788 of the family's 1533-position model. The record is from RNAcentral.
UACGUAGGGGCAAGCGUUAUCCGGAUUUACUGGGUGUAAAGGGAGCGCAGACGGAACUGCAAGUCUGAUGUGAAAGCCCGGGGCUCAACCGCGGGACUGCAUUGGAAACUGUAGAUCUGGAGUGCCGGAGGGGCAAGCGGAAUUCCUGGUGUAGCGGUGAAAUGCGUAGAUAUCAGGAGGAACACCAGCGGCGAAGGCGGCUUGCUGGACGGCAACUGACGUUGAGGCUCAAAGCGUGGGGAGCAAACAGGAUUAGAUACCCU